GACGAACGCUGGCGGCGUGCUUAACACAUGCAAGUCGAACGGAAAGGCCCUGCUUGCAGGGUGCUCGAGUGGCGAACGGGUGAGUAACACGUGGGUGAUCUGCCCCUUACUUUGGGAUAAGCCUGGGAAACUGGGUCUAAUACUGGAUAGGACCAUGCUGUAGGUGGUGUGGUGGAAAGAUUAGUUUCGGUAAGGGAUGAGCUCGCGGCCUAUCAGCUUGUUGGUGGGGUAAUGGCCUACCAAGGCGUCGACGGGUAGCCGGCCUGAGAGGGUGGACGGCCAGAUUGGGACUGAGAUACGGCCCAGACUCCUACGGGAGGCAGCAGUGGGGAAUAUUGCACAAUGGGCGCAAGCCGGAUGCAGCGACGCCGCGUGGGGGAUGACGGCCUUCGGGUUGUAAACUCCUUUCAGCCAUGACGAAGCCCUUGUGGUGACGGUAGUGGUAGAAGAAGCACCGGCUAACUACGUG
Molecule: ribosomal RNA, 469 nt
Filed under: uncultured bacterium
Lineage: Bacteria
Description: partial 16S ribosomal RNA
Rfam family: Bacterial small subunit ribosomal RNA
Source: RNAcentral